This 506-nucleotide ribosomal RNA is filed under the name uncultured bacterium. RNAcentral's name for it is "partial 16S ribosomal RNA". It matches the Rfam family "Bacterial small subunit ribosomal RNA", at positions 29 to 523 of the family's 1533-position model. The record is from RNAcentral.
AGUGAACGCUGGCGGUAGGCCUAACACAUGCAAGUCGAACGGCAGCACAGGAGAGCUUGCUCUCUGGGUGGCGAGUGGCGGACGGGUGAGGAAUACAUCGGAAUCUACUCUGUCGUGGGGGAUAACGUAGGGAAACUUACGCUAAUACCGCAUACGACCUACGGGUGAAAGCAGGGGAUCUUCGGACCUUGCGCGAUUGAAUGAGCCGAUGUCGGAUUAGCUAGUUGGCGGGGUAAAGGCCCACCAAGGCGACGAUCCGUAGCUGGUCUGAGAGGAGGAUCAGCCACACUGGAACUGAGAGACGGUCCAGACUCCUACGGGAGGCAGCAGUGGGGAAUAUUGGACAAUGGGCGCAAGCCUGAUUCAGCCAUACCGCGUGGGUGAAGAAGGCCUUCGGGUUGUAAAGCCCUUUUGUUGGGAAAGAAAUCCAGCUGGCUAAUACCCGGUUGGGAUGACGGUACCCAAAGAAUAAGCACCGGCUAACUUCGUGCCAGCCGCCGCAGUAA